RNAcentral lists this non-coding RNA (86 nucleotides) under Pseudomonas sp. URMO17WK12:I10. The record is from RNAcentral. Lineage: Bacteria; Pseudomonadati; Pseudomonadota; Gammaproteobacteria; Pseudomonadales; Pseudomonadaceae. RNAcentral also lists the same sequence under 2 other names.
CUUUAUGGCUGCUCUGCAUGAGGCACCUUGGGUGCGCCGGGUGUCUGACGUCCCGGUCGGCUAACUCACGCAGAGCUGCCACCUUC